Molecule: ribosomal RNA, 662 nt
Filed under: uncultured archaeon
Lineage: Archaea
Description: bacterial SSU rRNA
Rfam family: Archaeal small subunit ribosomal RNA
Source: RNAcentral
AAGCCAUGCGAGUCUAAAGGACUUCGGUCCUUGGCGGACGGCUCAGUAACACGUGGAGAACCUGCCCUCAGGAGGGGGAUAACCCCGGGAAACUGGGAAUAAUACCCCAUAGGUCUAGGAUGCUGGAAUGCUUCUAGGCUGAAAGCUCCGGCGCCUGAGGAUGGCUCUGCGGCUUAUCAGGUUGUAGUGAGGGUAACGUCCUCACUAGCCUAUGACGGGUACGGGCCCUGAGAGGGGAAGCCCGGAGAUGGACUCUGAGACACGAGUCCAGGCCCUACGGGGCGCAGCAGGCGCGAAAACUCCGCAAUGCUCGAAAGAGUGACGGGGGGAUUCCAAGUGCCUACGCUCAGCGUAGGCUGUUCAGAUGCCUAAAAAGCAUCUGGAGUAAGGGCUGGGUAAGACGGGUGCCAUCUGUGGCAGCAGCCGAAAAUUUGGCUUGCUACUGCAAGGCAUAAGCCGCCGCGGUAAUACCCGCAGCUCGAGUGGUAGUCGAUUUUAUUGGGCCUAAAGCGUCCGUAUCCGGUCUGGUAAAUGCUUGGGUAAAUCGUCUGGCUUAACCAGAUGAAUUCCGGGUAGACUACCAGACUUGGGACCGGUUGAGGAAGAGGGUACUUCAGGGGUAGGAGUGAAAUCCUGUAAUCCUUGAAGGACCACCAGUGGCG